Long non-coding RNA from Macrobrachium nipponense, 385 nucleotides. RefSeq lists it as uncharacterized. The record is from RefSeq and is a predicted model, not a curated record. NCBI's taxonomy places the organism in Eukaryota, Metazoa, Arthropoda, Malacostraca, Decapoda, Palaemonidae. The transcript is spliced from 3 exons.
CGUGGGUUUUCGAAACUUGAGAUGCAGCCAUGAAAGUAUUAUUUGAUUUGAUGAAAUUUAGGAGGUCAAGCUAAUCCCGGGGUCGCUUUCGUUAAGACAGUGAGAAUAAGGAGUGGUUGGACAACAAGAUAAAGAAAUCCAGAAAAUAGGAGGUUGGGUGAUGUCAGCCGCCAGCCGUUCAUUUCCCAGCAAAUCUUCGGGAUGACGUUGUUCGCCCAGAACGUUUAUCAAAUCGGAUUGCGACCACCGCUGACAUUUAACAUCCAGAGGUCGGAGGAACAUAACAAGAUGAAAUCUGGAUGUUCUGGACGAGGCGUUAAUUCCCCACAGAAACUGCUGUGAAAACCAUGAAAAUGUGGUCGUAAGUCACCGUGCAAAUGUUUUC